RNAcentral lists this ribosomal RNA (531 nucleotides) under Triticum aestivum (bread wheat). RNAcentral describes it as "partial small subunit ribosomal RNA". Lineage: Eukaryota; Viridiplantae; Streptophyta; Magnoliopsida; Poales; Poaceae. The record is from RNAcentral.
AUGAUUUUAGUAAAAAAGAAGGACGGCACAUGGCGCCUCUGCGUAGAUUAUCGCCAUCUCAAUGCUAUGACCACAGUGCCCAAAUUUCCAGUACCAGUAAUUGAGGAGCUGCUUGACGAACUACACGGAGCAGUCUGGUUCUCCAAACUUGAUCUUCGAGCAGGCUAUCACCAGAUCCGUAUUGCCGACGGUGAAGAAUACAAAACAGCCUUCACAACUCAUUCUGGGCACUUCCAGUUCCUGGUGCUGUCAUUUGGACUGGCAGGAGGACCGGCGACGUUUAUAGGGGCUGUUACUGACACCUUGAAUCCUCUCUUACGCAAGUGUGUGCUGCUGUUCUUUGACGACAUACUAGUCUUCAGCCGUACUUUGAAGGAUCAUGCUGCCCAUCUGGCGCAAGUUUUGCACCUGUUGUGUCGCGACCAAUGGAAGGUCAAGGCUUCGAAAUGUUGUUUUGGCCAGCGCCAGUUAUCUUACCUGGGCCACGUGAUCAGUGACAAAGGUGUGGCCACCGAGCCAAGCAAAGUGUAG